This 369-nucleotide ribosomal RNA is filed under the name Triticum aestivum (bread wheat). RNAcentral describes it as "partial small subunit ribosomal RNA". Lineage: Eukaryota; Viridiplantae; Streptophyta; Magnoliopsida; Poales; Poaceae. The record is from RNAcentral.
AUGAAUGAAACUACUUCUCCAUUGCCUGAAAGUUGGUAUAAUGUGUUUGAAAGCCUUAUCAUUCCUCACUUUCCAAAUAUUCCACCACGCAAGGAAAACCAAUUCAGUAAAGAAAGGUUUGUUGAACUCCUUUCUUGCUUGCAAAGCAGUAUGUGCCAUGUCAUUGUUGUCUGUCCAAACUAUCUGAAGUUAGUUCCAUAUUCGAACACUGAAAAUAUAGUGGAAGAAAAGAUGAUUUCUAUCUUCCAAGGUCAAGGUUGGACAAAGGACACAUUCUGCACUUUUUUUUAUCCUUCGGGUUACGUCUUUUGGAGGAAUAUUUAUUUUAUGGAAAAACCACCCAAAUAUGUGAGUGGAAUCAUGUAUUAA